Molecule: ribosomal RNA, 407 nt
Filed under: uncultured bacterium
Lineage: Bacteria
Description: partial 16S ribosomal RNA
Rfam family: Bacterial small subunit ribosomal RNA
Source: RNAcentral
AUUGAACGCUGGCGGCAGGCCUAACACAUGCUAGUCGAGCGGAGCGGCGGACGGGUGAGUAAUGCCUAGGAAUCUGCCUGGUAGUGGUGGAUAACGUCCGGAAACGGGCGCUAAUACCGCAUACUAUCAGAUGAGCCUAGGUCGGAUUAGCUCGUUGGUGGGGUAACGGCCUACCAAGGCGACGGACCGUAACUGGUCUGAGAGGAUGAUGAGUCAAACUGGAACUGGGACAAGGGCCAGACUCCGACGGGAUGCAGCAGUGGGGAAUAUUGGACAAUGGUCGAAAGCCUGAUCCAGCCAUGCCGCGUGUGUGAAGAAGGUCUUCGGAUUGUAAAGCACUUUAAGUUGGAAGGCGUUACCAACAGAAUAAGCACCGGCUAACUUCGUGCCAGCAGCCGCGGUGAUAC